This 253-nucleotide ribosomal RNA is filed under the name uncultured bacterium. RNAcentral describes it as "partial 16S ribosomal RNA". It matches the Rfam family "Bacterial small subunit ribosomal RNA", at positions 524 to 776 of the family's 1533-position model. The record is from RNAcentral.
UACGUAGGGUGCAAGCGUUAAUCGGAAUUACUGGGCGUAAAGAGCUCGUAGGUGGUUUGUCGCGUUGUUCGUGAAAACUCACAGCUUAACUGUGGGCGUGCGGGCGAUACGGGCAGACUUGAGUACUGCAGGGGAGACUGGAAUUCCUGGUGUAGCGGUGGAAUGCGCAGAUAUCAGGAGGAACACCGGUGGCGAAGGCGGGUCUCUGGGCAGUAACUGACGCUGAGGAGCGAAAGCGUGGGGAGCGAACAGG